This 253-nucleotide ribosomal RNA is filed under the name Intestinimonas butyriciproducens. RNAcentral's name for it is "partial 16S ribosomal RNA". It matches the Rfam family "Bacterial small subunit ribosomal RNA", at positions 524 to 776 of the family's 1533-position model. Lineage: Bacteria; Bacillati; Bacillota; Clostridia; Eubacteriales. The record is from RNAcentral. RNAcentral also lists the same sequence under 1 other name.
UACGUAGGUGGCAAGCGUUAUCCGGAUUUACUGGGUGUAAAGGGCGUGUAGGCGGGAGUGCAAGUCAGAUGUGAAAAUUAUGGGCUCAACCCAUAACCUGCAUUUGAAACUGUACUUCUUGAGUACUGGAGAGGCAGGCGGAAUUCCGUGUGUAGCGGUGAAAUGCGUAGAUAUACGGAGGAACACCAGUGGCGAAGGCGGCCUGCUGGACAGCAACUGACGCUGAGGCGCGAAAGCGUGGGGAGCAAACAGG